Molecule: non-coding RNA, 1534 nt
Organism: Kogia breviceps (pygmy sperm whale)
Lineage: Eukaryota; Metazoa; Chordata; Mammalia; Artiodactyla; Physeteridae
Source: RefSeq, a predicted model, not a curated record
AGGGGUGGAGAGACGGCCUUUCCCGACAGCUGAAGCUGGGAGGGCCGAUCCUGGCCCUCCGCUCCACUCCAGUCCUGAGGGAGGGGCCUGGCAACACCUCACUUCCAACUGAAAGGAGACACCUCUGUGGUUUCAAGGCCCCUAGUUUGUUGCACAGGUUACAAGCAGUCGGGAAAACUAAUACAACUGCCAAAUAGCACAAUUAUUUUUCCUCAGCAGAAAGGGAAACAGCUGCAGUUUGUACCGACUCUUGCCACCUUCCCUCCUACUCAGCCGCACCUGAGCUUGCCCGGCGAGGAUGCGUGAGGGGCUGGAGGGAGGCCCCGCUGGGACAGGCAUCUGUCUGUGCUUCCAUCUUGCCUGCCUUGCUGGACACCCUGUUUCACGGUGGGGGCCCACUGCCGCCCCCAGGCACCGAGCCAGCACCCACCGUGUCCAGAACUCACAGGGUCAUCAAGGCAGAGUGUCUGAGGUGGUUCUAAAACCUGUCCCCAGAGUCUGUGACAUUCCUCCUUUCCAAAGGUGGAGCCUCACCUACUCCCACCCCCCCACCCCCGGCCCUGAGGGUAGGCUGUUCUUAAUGACUCACUUCUUUUUCCUGACUAGUUCACGCCCAUGCCAGCCGACUUGGAAGUGGGUACUCCAAGCCCACGCAGCCUCCAGACAACCUCCACUGAUGUCCUGACUGCAGCCUCCUGAGAGGCUCUGUGCCAGAACCACCCAGCUCCUGGAGUCCUGACUCGACAAACGAUGUUUGUUGUUUUCAGCCACUGCUUGGACUCACUUGUUACACAGCAGUAGGUAACGAAUACAGCUCUAACUGGCUUCCCAGGAGUCCCCCGUUUCUUUGCUGCUCUUUGUUAAGCAGAAGCCUGAUUGCUUUUCUGCAGAGGAUUCCCCAUCAUCUCCCAACCUCAGAGGCUCCAUAUGGUGACUGACCCUCAGUGCCUUACCAGGGCCGCCUAAGAGAUUUCUGAUGUCUCCACCUUACUGGAGACUGUGUGUCCUGGGUUCUGACUUUCUCAUCUCUCCCUGGACAGGGGAAGGUGGGGAGAUGGUCCCCAUGUUGGGGCCAGAUCUGUGUCUGUGAACUGUCAGCUGCCUAAUGGGGUCCACAGAGCCAUGGGACACACCCUGGGAUUCUAGGACCACCCCUGAUCCAAGCAAGACCCACAGCCAUGGUGAGAAGGGCAGGCCUCAGACCUCAGACCUUGAUCUUCCUCUGCAGUGGCAAGCUGAGAGCCCGGCCCACAGGAGGGCGCAGCCCUGGGGGAGCUGGGGUGGCCCCACCUGCAGCAGAGGUCCUGGCCUCCUCUCUCCCACCCCCACUGUCUCCUGGGGCUCCGGAGGAGAAAGUGGGCUUGCGUGCUGUUUAUAUGCUCUUUUCUUAAAAUCGCCAUUGUCAUGAGAACUGUUCGCACUUGUGGCGAUGACACACAGGGUGGAGUUUCCAGGGGGACGCUUGCACAGGCAGUGGCCUCGCAGCUCAUCUGACCCCACAGAUGCAGGACACACACUGGGACAGUUCAACCGU